CAGCUAUUACGCAGAGAGGCUGUCUCAAGCUGCCAAAGACCAAUCGGCCAGCGGACUGGAGUGGACGCUCGCCAGUCUGGUUGACAAGACCCGUCAGCUGGUGGCAGUGUGCGGCUGCAAGCUGCUAGCUUCAGCUAUUUAGGCCCUGAACGCAGUACGAGUACAUCGCAACCAAAGCUUCUCCUUCCGCUGAGUCUGAACAAGUAGUGCUCCGCAAUGACAAGGAUACGCUGAGAGCAAAGUACAGCGGUCACAACAGCCAGUCGUCACUGCACGUGGACUGGCACGAAGAGGAGUGGGCCACGCCCACGGACUACAGCGCCAUGAUGAGCAACAAAGCCAAGAAGUCUAUUGACUUCCUUCUGAUGCAGGACACCGCCCCGACGAUAGCCACGGACGUGUCACUGCAGUACCGCCUCGACAUCGUCUUCUGCCAAACGGUCACCUACACAUAUUUUAAUUAUUGUAUGUCUGAGCUGAUGCGUUUAUCCUGGAGUGACUCAGAGUGAAGGAGAAGGCCAAGAAGAAGUGUAAAUAUCAUAGAAGCAAGGAGUUCAGAGCUCUACGACUUAGUGUCUUUAUGGUAUUUAUGUGUGUAAUGGAGACCAGGGGUUCCAUUACCCUUACUUGUAUUUUUAUUAAUUGACUGACUGAUUUGUAUUUAAAAACCGUAAUGAAGAAAAACACACACUGGUUGAUUGUGAUUCUUUAUUAGGCUUUUUGGGUUGUUAUUUAAGUGACUCGUUAAAGGUGAAGAGACAGGGGGACUGGCCAUCCUACCUGUGUCAGGAAAAGAACCUGUGUUAGAGCUGUUCACAUUUAAUCAUUUGUCUGUAACCUAAAUUAGUUGUAUAUGUAAAAAGAGAAGUGUUAACAGUACUCACUUUGUAAAGAGUAAAAGCAGCUCAAUCACCUGCUUAUGAGCUCCUGGAGAAAACCAAUGUGCCAGGCUAGGG
Non-coding RNA from Maylandia zebra (zebra mbuna), 956 nucleotides. Lineage: Eukaryota; Metazoa; Chordata; Actinopteri; Cichliformes; Cichlidae. The record is from RefSeq and is a predicted model, not a curated record.